Molecule: long non-coding RNA, 27461 nt
Organism: Cavia porcellus (domestic guinea pig)
Lineage: Eukaryota; Metazoa; Chordata; Mammalia; Rodentia; Caviidae
Exons: 2
Source: RefSeq, a predicted model, not a curated record
GAAAUGGCUGGGAUUCCUCCCGCGGCGCUGCGCGGCCGGCUGGGCGGGCUGGGAGGGACCGCGCAGGAGGCCGGGGCACGGCAGUGGGGACGCCUCCCUGGAGAGCUCCCGCCACUCACUGCAGGCACUGAGGCCCCAGGUCCCGGGAAGCCUCCAGAGGGGACCACAUGGAGGGGCACGGCUCGGCUCUUGCAGAGACGACCCCAACACCCAACCCCCAGCUCAGCCCAGCCUCCAGCUCCUGAUCUUCCUUCGCUCAGGCCUGUGGGGACAGGGGGAGGGAAGCAAGGUGCUCGAGGAGGGUGCCGGGGACCGACUCUGCUCCUGGUAGCAAAGCUCAGACAGUUCUAGGCCCAGUCCUCAGGGCUGGCUGAGCAGGCCUUUCUUUGCUACAGGUUUCGGGAGCAGAGCAGGAAACUGGCUGGGGAGGGAAGGCCAGAGAGAGAGGGUGGCCCCUCUGGGGCCUGCUGGUAACAAGAAGGGCUGGGUGGGCUGGAGGAGUAGACCUGAGGGAGGAACAUGGGGGUCCUAGCGAGCUGGGACUGGGCCUGGAGAGCCGUCCUGAUCAGACUGCUGUGGGGAGGCCUGAGAAGAGAUCAGAAACCUUCUUGGAGUCAUCUGAACUUGAGAAAGCUCCCUGCUUCCCUUGGACACAAGCAAAAUGCAAAAUUUGGAGGUGGGGAGGGGGGAUAGAUGAAGGACUUGAAGUGGGGGCCCAUGUAACCUCUGCUAGCAAGGUGGCCCCAGUACCUGCACAGUCUCUUUACAAUUCCUGGUUUGCUGCAGAAGCUGGCCUGUGAGAGGCUUUGUCUUGGCCUGGCACCUAACUCUCACCGUGUGAGCGCUGCCCUCACACUCCCUGCCUUGUUCUCCUCAGCCUGGAAGGCCCCUGACCCUCUUGGUCUGGUGAAUCUGACUCUUUGCCCAGCCAUCUUAUUCAUUCCCUGAUUUCCAUAUCCUCUAUGCUCUCUGCCUGCUUCCUCAUGGGCCUCAGUGUGCCUUUUACGCACACGGAUUUUCAUGAAAGUGCGCUUAGAAAGCUGUCUCCCAAGCCAGACAGUAGCUCUGGGAGGGCAGGACUGGCCAAGUCGUACACUGCCUGAGUGUUGGUAGAGUGCAUGAACUUCCCGCCUGACUCCAUAGAUAACUUACUAUGCAGACCUGCCCUGCCCUCUCUUGACACCCAAAGAAGGGCCCAGUGCAAUGGGCUGGAUGCCAUUCUCUCCUUAGAACCACUCGGGACUUCACACCUUGGUCCUACUCCCCAACUCCCUUUUUUCUGCUAUUUUUUUUUUUUUGGUCUUUUUCAUUUUUAUCGGUACCAGGGAUCAAACUCACGACCGCCUGCUUGCAAGGCAGGUGCUUAUGCCGCUGAGCUAAAUCCCCAGCCCCUCCCUUUUUUCUUAUCCUCGCUCCAGGCUUGGAGCAGGACUUGGUUGAUGAGCACCUAAGUCCCUAUCCCACCCUCCCCCACCUCCACUCCCAGGAUUUAGCAGCUGUUUCUCAACCCAAGGCUCAGGAAGUCUGGCUCCACACAAAGUGAGGCUGCCCUGUCGUUCUCCGUGGGAUUGAGCUCAAAGGAAGGAAGCGCCAUAGCCCAAGGCUGGGGGGAGCAAUGGCCAUAGUGUGUCUGUUUGCUAUGCCACAUCCUCAGGGUGCCUUCAAGCUUGAAGCAGCACAAGGACACUCACAUCAUCUGAAUCCAAGCCGCCAGCUUAAAUUUCCACCCUUUCAACCCUUGGGGGGCACCCAAGUGGUGGGACUUCGGUCUGGACAGAGACUCUCCCCCAAAUAAGUUUCCUGCAAGACUGGGGAGGAAACAGGAGAGCAGAGUCAGCCUGUCCUAAUGCAUUUGCCCCACCUCAGAUGCAUUAGUGGGUGACAGUGGAACUGGGGCAUGGCAGGGCAUGCAGUGUCAUUUCCAGGGCUGGCUCUAGACCCCCCCCCCACGCACAAGGCACUGGCCCAGGUGGCCUUGGCAGACCAUUCAUACAGCGCUCACACAGUCACAAUGGUUCUGGGAAUUCUGGAUGUCAAAACUACAUUUUUCACAAGAAAAAGGAAGAGAUUUUGGCAUUUUUGCUGGAGAAACAGGAACUGACCAAGACAGUGAACUCCAGGGAUUGCUUCCUCACCCGGUGCUCAGAACGAGGGUGGGGUCUCUGGGCCCUGCUAUGCUCUCCCAGGGAUUGUGGGGAGGAGCUCUGGGGUUUAAUGGGACCAGAGGGGAAAGAAGAGAAAGGGCAGGGGGAAGGGAUGGAGAAACACGCAGGGGAAGGGAGGGCAGGAAGGACCGGCUGGUCCUUGAGCGCCGGGAAGCCGGGAGUCAGAGGGGGUGGAGUUGGGGUUGCGGGCACCUGGGACUCGCGGAUGCUCUGUGUGACUUCUGUUUUUAUGCUGUCAUAAAAGAGCAUCAGCACCGUGUUUCCUUUGGGCUCCCAGUUCCGGAGUUGUGGUGCUGUGGUCUCAUAGCACUGGAAGACAACUGCAGGUCCUCACUGUAGUCUCGGCCCUGUUUUCUCCUGACCCGCUGCCCUGCGUCAAACAGUUUGUGGAUCCUGGGUGAAGAAGAAAAACAUUUUCCCCUUGCAGAGCCUAGAACCGAGUAGCAGGAGCUGGUGUUCAAACAAUAAAGCUUUACAGUAACAGUAACAAAGAGAGCUCAGGGUAAUGGUUUCUAAGAGAGGAGAUGAGCCACAGCAGAAAGCUCUUAGCAAAAGGUGGGAUCUAAAGAGGGCUUUGGAUGGCGGAUAGCCAUUUGGGAAAGAGGACCUUCCCAGGAGAAGGGGGAUGGAGCAUCUGUAGCUCAGUGCGUGAGAGAGGUGGGAGCCCAGCAGGUGGCGCACAUGGGUACAGGGGCGGGCUGGGACACAGAGCUGGAGGUCCCAACUGCCCACCAAAGUCUGUAGGAUUUCUCCAGGGGCACAGAGGAGGCCUUGACCAGCAAAGGCAGGACCCAGUAGCACAUGCUGCAGGCACCUUCGAGAAUGCAGCAAGGUGAAGGGAGCUGGCCUGGGAAGGGGGAGCUGCAGCCAACACACCCAUGCGGGGACUCAACAGACCGCAUCUGGAUUUGCACUCUCGGUUCCUUGCAGGGUGCAGCUGACCUGAGACUGGGCCCCUUGACUGUGUCUUCAUUGGCUCUACCUGUGAUGUACAUGGAGGCUGCAGCUCUCAAAUGGAAACAAAGCUAGUGGCAGGUGGAGGCCUCUUCCUUCUGGACAGACUGAGGAAAGGUGGGGUGGGGGUGGGGGAUGUACAGGUAUAGGCCCAGACAAGGGUGAGACUCUGGAAACCCGGCAGGAAGGAAGAUGGCAGAAGGGAACACUCCUGAGGCAACUGGGCUGGUGGAUGGGUCGGGGGCGGCGAAGGUGCCAGGGUUUAGAGGUCUCCUGGGCCAGAAGAACUUUCCUGUGCUCCUUGGAUCGCAUGGCUCAGUCCUGAAUGGAGCAGUCCGUCUCACCUAGUGUAGUGGAUGGCAGGGUUGCGGCAGCUGCCAUUGUAAAAUAAACUUGAGUUCUUUUCCUGGCUCAUAGGCUCUCAGUAGGGCAGAGGUGGCAUCUCCCCCAGGUCUUAGUACUCACUAGUCCCUCAAUAAGUCACCUGAAGAAAAGGAUCAGGAUCAGAGGCCCCACGAUGAAGAGGAGAACCCUUAGAGAUGAUGGUAGAGGCUGAGUUUAUUGUUUCAGUCACCCUCACCCCGUAUCUGGGUGUGAUUGGGAAAUGCGCUUCCCGUGGGGGGUCUUUGCUUAUGGCCCAGUUCCUCUGUACUGCUCUCUUCCCCCAGCUGGCUUUCGUUUCUUCCAUGGGGCACGUGUUAGUAUUUAUUAAUUCACUCCAUCUAUAUUGGUCAUCUCCAGUGUGCUAGGUAUCGUACUAGGUGGGGAACACAUGGCAAACAAUGCUUAUGACUCAAGUAGGUGAGCAUUUAAAACUGUUCCCUACAUGGGCCGGUUAUCCUUGGCUGGAGGAAUGUGGGAUUUGUCUUGCUAGUUAUGGGUUUGUGGUGCCAUCUGCUGGUCACAUGUGAGUACACACCCGCAGACUGGGGUGAAUGAACACAUGGAGAGGCCACUCAGGAAAACAUAAAAGGAGACAGACAUAGCUGCAUACACACAGUGAACCGUAUACGUGUUCACAUACAGGCACACACAUCUGAAGUGCAAACACACAGACACAGUCACAGGUAGAAACUCAGGAUCUAACAGAGCACCUCACCUUCGGUAGGAGUCCAAUACGUAUUUUCUAGUCUGCAAAACAAAACCAAUUCUUUAGAUCAGCUUUUUUCCAGGUUCAGUUUUCACCUUUCUUCCUAGCUACUGAGCCACGAAUGCUCCAGCCAAUGCUCCUGCCCUUGCCUCACUGUGUCUUUAAAAACAAAUUUAAAUCUAACUUCGGGAAGCUGCUUUAUCUCUGUGGCUAAGGUAAUACUUCCUCUUGUGAGCUUUUGUAACAUCCUGAUAUUUAUCAUCAUCCUAUUUCCCUCCCAGCUAUUUGGGAGCUCGCGGCGUCUUCUCCUUUUCUACUCUGUAAAGUUUUUGAGGACAGAACUGGCGCCUGACUCAGGCUGCCACAUCACCUUGCAUAAAGGAAAGGCUUGCUGAAUGAAUGAAUGAACGUCUCAGUCGUGGGCUUGCAGGAGAAUGAAGACAAUACACUGAGACGCACAUUUACUUACGUACAUCACUCUUUCCUGCAAAGACAUCCGUGGUUACCUACUAGCACGGAAACACAUCUCUGUCCCUAUGGCUGCCAGCAGACAUGUUCGUUACAUGAAACUCUUAAUUCUUCUUUCAUUAUUUCAUUUCGGUUCUUCUGCUCCCUGGGCACUGCAGCAAUAGCCUCUUAGCUGUUCUCUAUUUCAGUUCUUCCCUUUGCACUGUUUCCAUUGACCUCAGGUUGCAUCUUUUUGAGGAUGUUGUUUACUAGCUCAAGAACUCUAGUAGUUCAUGCUACCUUGAAUGAUAAAGUCUUGAAAAAAAACCAAAUCUUUUCUUUUUUAACUCUUUCUUUAGAGAAGGAGUAGUAUCCAGUAAAAAAAAAUAAUGGAGUUGCUCUGUGCAAAUGUUUAUCAUUGCCUAUUAAAAGAUGCAUCAGUGGUUGAUGUACCAGUUCAACUUUCUUACUUCCUGGAAUGUGAUUGCAGGAGCUGCUGCAACUGUUUUUCAAUCAUGAGGGAAAGACCAAGAUGUUGCCUCUGACAUCACUGAGCAACUGAACAAAUGAUACUAUGUAUAGAUUCUUCUUUUACAUGACAAAAUAAACCUUUUUGCUUAAGCCACUGCAAAUUUUGUUUUCUGGGAUAGUUCACCUGGAUGUAAUCCUAAUUUAGGAUUUUAAAUGCUUUUCCAGGAAUACUCACAGGAUAAAGUCUGAUUUGCUUAACCUGAUGUUUAUGAACCCUCAUGAUCUGGCUGUACUCAGCUCAUUCAGUCUUCCUGGUAUUGUCAUGGCCACACGCUAAUCCAGGCCUCCACCAUCUCUCCCCCAGACUACCAGGAACUUCUGGCUCAUCUCCCAUUCCCACCAUCCAGUUCUUCCAACCAUUCUUGUCAUAGCAGCCAGAGGUCCUUUUAAAAUAAAUCAGAUCAGUGUCUUUUUAAUUCUUAAAUCCUUUUAGUGACUUUUUAUUACUCUUUAACUCAAAUCUAAACUUCUUAAUAAAACCAAAACUUUACAAGGAUUCUAGGGUCAAUUAGCUAGUCCUUAACCUUGGCUGUACAUUAGAAUCACAUAGAAAUAUUAAAACAUUAUCUGUGAUUGAACCUUGCCGUGUGUGUGUGUGUGUGUGUGUAACUGGGGACCUGUUUCAGUCACUUUCUUCAAUGCUGGGACACCCUGCAUUUAGGAGAGGUUUAUUUUGGCCCGCAUUUUUGUCCGCAGUUGGCUGGCUUCAAGGCAGGAUGGUGUGAUGGAGAGGCCGGGGUGGAGGAGUGCUAUUCACACAGUAACAAUCAGGAAGCAGAGGAAGAAAGCAGGAGCUCAGAAAGGAGCUCUGUCUCUCCACCGUGCACCUCUGGGACCAUCAUUUCCGUUCACUUGUUUGAAAGAUGGGGAUUUGGAAGGUGACUGGAUCAAGCGAGCUUUGACUUCAGAGGACGAAGCCAUGGAUGAGAUGAUCUGACAGCAUUGUCGGGAAGCUAUGGACACAGGAAGCAAAGCCAAACUGAAGGAGACGGGUCACGGAGGUGUGACACGGACUCUACCCCGUCCCUGGUCCCUUCUCUUGGGCUCUUUCCUGCUCUCUCUUCCUAGCUGCCACAAGAUGAACAGCUGUAUUCCACCCCCCUCUUCUGUCAUGAUGUUCUGCCUGUGCAAUGGAGCCAGAGGACUGUGGACUGGACUCCCUGAAACCAUGAACCAAAAUAAAUCAUUCCUCCACCGAGGUGUCUUUGUUAGAUGUUUUAUCAUAGUAAUGAGAGCUGACUAACAUGCAUUCCCGUCAGUCAUUAAGUUUCCGGGGAAUACCCAAGCAUCUUUUUUUUGUUAAUUUUUAGUUUAUUUCACUUUAUCAGAAAAUAUAUUUUGCAUAAUCUCAAUUCUUUGAGGAUUGUUUAGACUUGUUUUAUGCCUCUAAAUAUGGUCUACGUUAGUGACUAUUUCGUGUGGACACCUUGGAUAGAGUAUUUACAAUUUCAACUAGGUCAGUUCAUUGAUCGUGAUGAUAGACCUUCUGUAUCCUUAACUGAUUUUCUGUCUACUUGCUUCAUAACCUAAUUAUAGCUCUCAAUGAUUAUUUGUCAAUUUCUCCUUUCAUUUCCACUAGUUUUGCCUCAUGUAUAUGGAAGCUCUUUCGUAAGGUGCUAUGAAUUUAGGGUUGUUGUAUCUUCUUGGUGAAUUGACCCCUUUCUCAGCAAGUAACAUCCUCUUUCAUCUUGGCUAAUAUUUGUUGUACUUGAUACUAAUGCAGUCAGUAGAGUUGCUCUGAUUAAUGUUUGGGUGGUAUAACUUUUCCCUUACUUUAUUAUAUUCUACCUGAUAAUUUUGUGGUCCUGGAAAUAGAAAUAGGGCGUCACACGUGCUAGGCAAGCACUGUACCACUGAGCUGCCCCUGCAGACCAUCAUCUUAUACUCUGUACCUAUGUCUACAUUUACACUUAAAGUGGGGUUUCUUGCAGACAGAAUCGGGUCUUGUGAUUGUCUCCCAGCUGACAGCCGUGAAUGGCUGCGGACUCUUCCUGCCCGUGCUGUUCCUGGAAACUCUCCCGCCAUCCCACACGCAGCUUCUGUCAGCUCAUUCACAAUUUUAGUUGGCUUCUUCCCACUUGCAUGGUGCUUGACAUUUCACCCUCCUCUCGCUGCCCGGAGCCAGGGCUUGCAAUGCUCCCUCUCCCUGAAGGUGCCUGUCCCCCCUUAGCACUCUGGCUGCCCUGUGCUGCGGCCCUGGAGUUCUGGGAAGUUCAAGUCAAGUCCGGAAGUUUGUAGGUUAUUGAGUUUCCCCUUGUUGUGAAUGCUGCUCUCUGUGCCUCCUGCCUGCCCCUCUCCUUUGCCCCACGCUCCUGCCAACAGCAGUGCCCCUCCACCUUCCCUCUGCAGCUCAGUCUCCCCUCCUCCCUGGUCCUGAAACCUGGGCACUGACCCCCAGUGUGCGCAGCACCCCUGCAUCAGACAGAAGCCUGUCUCUCCGCAGUGUAGUCGGUCCCCUGUCGUUUACUACUCGGGCAUCCACCCUUAUCCUUCAUAGUCUGACUCCCACCAUCCCCAGCCCACACCUCCAGCCAGCCAGCUCUGAGUGUCUUCAACCACGUGCUGCCAGGAGCAUCACCAGGGGGCGCAGCUUCCCCCUCUGCUGACACCACAUGACAGUGCCCCUGCCUCGCCUGACCCAGGGAGGGGUCUGGAGUGUCUUGCUCAUGGCGCUCCAGCCAAGCUUGCUCUCGCCUGCUCCAUGAGAGCUUGAAAUGUUCUGUCAACCGUCCUUGUUUUGUUUCCUUGCAACCCACACAAAACAUUCACUUAUGUUUCUAGUUGUUUUUGUUGUAGAGCACACUGUGGAUAUGUGUGUGCGUCAGCACGGCAGAAUCCUUUCAUUAAUCUAUCACUUCUUCCCCCUCCCUUCUUCUUUUGGGUGUUGGGAUUAAACCAGUGCCUCACACAUGCUAGGCAAGUACUCUGCCACUGAGCCACACAUGUUGUAUUAAUAAUUUUAUUUAAACUGGGGAAAGUGGCAUAUGCCUGUAAUCUCAGCUAUGCAUGGAUGGAAGCAGGAUUCUGGGUUCAAAGCCAGCCUGGGUAACUAAGCAAGACCCCAUUUCAAAAUAAAAUGCAAAAAGGGCUUUAACUGUGGCUUAGUGGAAGAGAGCUUGCCUAGGUUCAGCCUUGAGGAGAGAACAGGAGAAACCAAUUUAAGAUGGUGCAGCCUAUCUAUCCAUAAUAAGCGCCCCUUGGGAAAGCUGACUCUAUUUGCCAGCAGUAAAAAUUGAGCUUACAAGUGUGGAACAUGAUGGACCUUCUGGGAAGAGCCAAGAAGAAAAAUUUGGGACCAAGGGUCAGUUCCUAAAUGAAGGUCAGAGGGCGCAGGUUGUGGGGGGCUCUCCAGUUUAACUACAGCUGCUGGGAGAGCUUGCACUCUGAGGUAGGGCAGGUUCGGGGGGCUGGGCAUUAGGACAGGGCUGCUUCAAAAGAGCACUUUUAUGGUGGCAUUGUAGCACCCUGUGUCCUUCGACUUUGCCCUUGAGCAACGCUCUUUAAAUUAUCGCACAGAAGAGACUCUAGUGAGCUUAGAAUAAUCAGGCUUCCUCUGGAGAGUUAAUGAAGAGCAUCAUAAAAGCCAAGGACGUCUUUUCCCACAGGGAGGACUGCAGCACUGGCAGUAGUGCCAAUUUGGGCUAUGCCGGUUGCCAACAGAGUGACGCUGUGGGAGAGAAAAAUCUGUAAUUACUUGUGAGCAGUGCAGUGGUCCCCUGGAGGAGCAGCACUCCGAUAGGGGACACUCAGGGGUGCUCUGUUGUUCUUAAGUAGCCUCCUCUGGCUGUGACAGCCUCAGAAUGUCCAUCUACAAGGUGGUCCCUGGGGGGUGAUGGGCGACUGCCAUGCAUCUAAGCAGACUAUGAUCUCAUGAGAUGGCUUUGGGGUACUGUCACUGCACCCCAUUUAACUGCUAUAGUGAAUAUAAAACAGUACAUAAAAAUAUAAAGACACAUAUAAGAAAUAACACACACAUACCAAACGCAUACAGAUAAUAUGAACUUGGAGAGCAGCUGUGUUCCUGUGAACAGACCCUUUCAGUGCUCUGUCCUCUUAAAUCUCAUGCAUACUGCCCCAUGAGGUGGCAGGGAGGUGCUCACGUCACUGCAAGUGACAGUGGAGGACACAGGACGAGGAGUUCCAGGGUAAAAGCUCCACGGUGAAUGUACAUUGCCCCUGGCAGUGGUUCUUACCAAGUUUAUCUGUUGCUGACUUUCUUGCAGCUAGAGGAGUACCCGGAAUACAGGAAGAGUGCGGUCAAGAUCUGCUGGACCCCUGGAACUGGAGAGACACUUUAGAGCAAUUAGACUGCAGGCAGGACUCCAUUUUCUGUUUCAUAGGCUGGGUUUCAAUAUUUGGCUUUAGGGCCAUGGACACAGCUCAGUGGCACACGCCUGCCUGUCAAGUGCGAGGUUGUGAGUUCGAUCUUUAGUACCAAAAGAAAAAAUAUGUCUCUAAAUGUGUAAGCCAGUUGCGACGUGACCCAAGGGAUGUGUGGAUGUGAGGGAAGGGAGGGGAGGAAGAGGAUGCAAGGGCGACUUUCAAGGAAGGUGCUCUUCUGUCAAUGCAAGACAUGAUAAAGGAACAAUGCUGACCCCCCCCCAUUCCCCCAGUGCCCACCGUCCAGAGGUGGUACCUUGGCUGCACACGACAUCCUUGGGUCUUAACGCGCCCAGCCUAUCUCUGUACUGGUUUUGGUUAAGACCUCAUAUAAGUCCUCCCUCACACGGCCAUCAGUUUCUCACAUGAAAACUUUCACUCAUCCCUUGCAAGUCACUUUUUCUCAAGAACAAACAAGUUCAAAGUCACGCGGCAGAGGGGCUGAGCCCAGGUGGAGGCGGGCAGGGUGAGAGUGCAUGCCAAGAGCAAAGAUACCAGCAUUGGACGCAAGGAUGCACAAAGGGACAGCUUCGCACAGACUCCGUCCCCCAGCUUGCUCUGCUCCUGAGACAGUGGAAAAGCCGGGGCCGAGCUUCUUGUGGCUGGGAACGGGGUGCAUGCUGAGGGGGGUGGAUGAUCGGUCUCUAGAGCUUUAGGCAGCAGAUGCUAAGAAAGAAGCAGGCUGGGGGCCUUCUUUGGAUGUAGUUCUUACAGUUGACCACCAGGUGGCAAUACCUCCAUCCAAACAGACUCGAACUCGGGACGGAGGAAUAAAACUCCCGAAGAGGCGGAGCCCUGCGGGUUCUGGGUCUGGACUGCGAGGAGUACCCUGACUACCAUGGAACUAAUCCAGUUAUAGAUCCCAUUUUCACCUAUGUGUUCAGUCAACAGUCACCGAGAGCUUUGCAUGUGUCCAGCCCUGGUCUGUGUGUUUUGGUGGUCCGGGUGCAGCCCUGAGCCACACCAGGUUCCCCCCACCCCAUCUGAGUAAGACCAACAUUAAACAAAGAGUUACAGACCACACACUCAUUUCCCUCACGGUAGGUGUUAUACAUGGCCAGGGAAAGGCUUAGUAGCAGGAAGAACUUGAUCUCAGCAAACACUGCCUUGUCAAGGAAGCAUCACGGAGCCUAACACUUCCCUGCUGAUUCACAUCCCACCCCGUCCUAUCACAGAGCUAAUGGACUCCUGCAAACAUCCCUUAAUGCCUCCGAAAUACAGUUCCAUCACUGACUCGAUGCAGAUCUUAACUACAGACCCUAUUCUGCUUCCCACAUCUAAGCAACCUUUACAGUCCUUCCCCGUCUCCUCCAGUCUUGUUUUACCCAAUUGCAUCCUUUCAUCAAAUUCUCCAAGCGCUCUGCUCUUACCCAUCUUUGCUUUUGCUAUGCCUUCCACUCUACCCAACAACUAAUCUAUUCUUGAAAAUAUUUGGCACUCAUGUCAGAUUUGAGGACACAGACCUCUAGAACCAAAAAUAGCAGGUUAUACCAUGGUAACUAUCCUUACUUUCCUAUUGACUUAGGCUGAAAUCCUGUAUUACUUACAUUGUCUUACUAUGACUGAUCUUAAUUGUAUCUGAAUCAUAAGACUAUUGGUUGGCCUUGACUGAUCCUAUUUGAAAUCGGUAUGCGUGUUAGAAUCAACCCUAAAAGUAGAGGAAACUACUCUGAGCAUGACAAGAUGUAAAGGAUAUCCAUACUGGUAUGAAUCAGUAACAGCUCUCAAAUACUACAAUGCAGUCAAAGUUUAGUUUUUAUAAAAAUAGGUGUUAGUAUGUUUAACUAUAAUAAGCCAGUGUUGUGGACAAAUCUAUUGAAAAUAACAAGAGAAAACAUAGUAGCUACGGAAGAUCAUUUAUAUUAUAGUUUUAUAAGUCUUAUCCAUUGCAUGUUUUUCUAGGAAAUUGUUUCGCUGUCUUGUUAUGACUUGGUUUUCCCUAUAAUACAGAGAGGAUAGGAACAAAUACUCUGAGGAAGAGACCUGAAAAACCCGAGGCUUAUUUUGUAGCAUUAUAAUAUAAAUUCUAGCAAUCUAUUGCUUGCUGAUUAGAAUGACAUUGGACUGGUUUCUUCAGCUCAACUUCAGCAUAUGCAGAGAUGGGGAUGGCUAUCACAAAGAGAAUGAGAGAUGCGAUGGUAGUUGCUAUUGUCUUCCCUAAUUUGGAACUUGAGGACCUAAAAAGACUCCAUCAUCCUGUAAUGAUUUGAUUAGUUCUAUAAUAUGCAAUAAGUAUAGAAAGUGGGUGAAGUUAGGGACAACUAUUUGUAAGAAGCUAGAGACAGUUAGAUAAGGUAGAUCUCCAGUGGACUUGCUUUGAAAUCUGUAUUUCUUUAAAUUGUUUUUUAUUUUUUAUUUUUUUUUUCAAAUGUUCUGUUCUGUUUUGAUAUGGUUAACCUUACCCUCUUAGAGAUGUAAAACAAAUAGGUGGGACUGCUAAUCAUAUUACGGAGCUUUUGUUCGACCAUAGAGCAGAAUGGUUUAUAGGGUCACUUUUUUGAAUGUCAUUCUAAAUACUUUAAUUCUAUAACCUGAACAGCCAUUUCGAAGAUGACAAUUUGUAACUUAUCAACCGGCAAUUUCUUACCUUUUGUUUGUCUGUAAUUUAGUAUUAUUUCUACCCUUUUUUUUUUAAUCUCCAUGUAUUUUUUUUUUCUUUUUUCGUUUCCUUUUCUUUAAAUAAAAAAAAAAAAAAAAAAAAAGAAAAUAUUUGGCAAACCAAUGAGCAGGUCCCCGAGUACCCACAUCACAAGGUCAUUCGCAGUCCUGUCAUGGCUCCCAUCCCAGAGGCAGGGUCUUGGCUCUCAGGCUGGCAAGGAGCAGGGCUCUUCUGCCUUAUUUUUUUUCAGAAACAGCCAAAAUGGAAGUGGCUCAGGUCUGACCCCACCCAGACUCGUCAGCUCCUGUAGUUUCUUAGAAGGUUGGCUGGGCUCGGCAUAGGCCUCCGUCCUGAGGUCUGAUUUGAUUCCUGUCACAGUCAUCCUGGGAUUAGUAGUUGCCCUUUACCUCCGCCUCAGGAUGUACCAGGCUCCGUAACAGUAGUUCUUCCUCUUCCCUCUGAAACAUCAGAGAACUCAGAAGAGAAUAUUCCAGGGUUGGCAGAGACAGAGCGAGGGAAUCAGCCUGCUUUGAUCCUUCCUUUCCUUCUCCUCCCCGCACCCCUUCUGUUUAUCUAGUUUUGCUUUUGGGACUGCACGUCCACAGCUGCCUUUUAGCAAGGAGGAGCUCAGAGGAAUUGCAAGACCCAGCGUGACUUCAUGGAACAAGAAAGGAAAGCAAGGCCAGAGAGUGCGAGUUUUUUGCCCGUGUCCCACAGCAGGUCAGCGCAGAGCCUGAUGUCCCUACAGCUCUCCAUGAAGUGCUCCUGCAGAGGGUAUCCCUUACACAGUCUCUUUGUUCACAUUAGCCAAGAAACGCUACUUCCAUUAGGAAGGCACGUCCAAUGCAAACCACUCCAGAGAUUGCAUUUCAAAGAUUGAUAGACAUGGCUUUUGCAUUAUCUGCUGUUUCAGAUUAGCUAUGCUGUGGCUUCAUUCUUUAGGGCUGAUAUUGGGGAUGAGAGGGGUGGGGAGUGGAGGUGGGGAGCCAGUCUUGAGUCCCUUUCACAGGCCCCAAGCUCUGGCCUGUGAGGCUGGGUCCGAGGAGGACAGGGUGAUCCACCCUAUAUUUUCAGUUCGUCAGGAGAUUUCAUUGUUUAAACAAACAUUUCAGCGAAGCCAUCCAGCUGGACAGUGAUUUAUGGCUCAGGCUACAGUUUUUCCCCAACAAAGAUAAACAAUCAUGCAACUGUUGGGACUGGGACUCCUGGUUCUAAUAAUUCGGAGUUGGCUGGACCACGCCAGCCAUCGCCUGGUCUGGGGUUUGGUUAGGAUCUGUUCACACUGGUCCUGCGGCUAAGCCACAAACCUUGGGGGACCAUGUUGUGUUUGGAAGCGGGAACCAUUGCCUCCAGGGCAGGGGAGAGUGGCAGAAAGAGCCGAGAAAAAUAGCCUGGGGUUUGGGCUUCAGGCCCAUCCCCCCGCUUCCAAGAGGGCACCAGUGGUCUGCAUUCCACCAGGUAGCUAUUUGGUGUUUGGGAUCAACAGUUUCCGUUCUUCCUUCUUUGGGAAAUGUAUGUUAGUUUCCUUCUGUGGUGCUGUACCAGGUUGUACCAUGCUUGUGCAAUUCCCUCAAUUCUUGAUGCCAAGCGUGGGUGUGAGCUCAGCCUGACCACUCAGAGCAGUGCACUCUAAUGGUCAUUGCAACUGAUUGGGCGGGGUAGGGGCCAUAUAACCCAAUGAAAAACGACAAAAGUAACCAGAAGUUUACUGAGGUGGUGGGAAGAAGGCAGGUACUCUUUCCAGCUAGAUUUGGACUGAGGAUGGCUUGGGAGCAGCACUGGCCGCCAGGGCCAUUGCCACCAUCUUGCUUCCAAGGUAGAAGUCUGUCUGACAAUGGAACGAAAACACAGGAAAGGAGGCAGAGGCUGGAGAGAGACCACCUCCUGGUGACUAUGCUGAUGCUCCUGACGUCGCCCAGGUCUUUGGCAGUGUGCAACUGCAAAAGUCACCAGCAUCCACCAGCCGACACAGUAAGGAAGGACUGGCUAGCGCAGGCGUCUCCCCGGUCUCCAGCCGGCAUCCAGGGUCCAUGGCUUGGCAAGAGUACAGCGACUUCCUCACCGACAAAGGUGUCGCCCAGGCAGAUGCUUGUACUGAGAAGCCGAUUUUCAAUUCAGCAGGUGAGGGGGAGUUCCUGAACUCUCUGGAGCACGAAUGGGUCCUCCCUGGGGCUGCUUUUCAGAGACUUCAGAGAGAAGUGCAGAGAGGUUGCAUUGCAGUCUUAGGAGAUAACAUCGGCCCAUUCAUAGGACAGGGAGAACCCCAGCUUCUAUUUCGCCAUAUUUCAAGAAGGGAGGUUUCGGAAACACAGCUUGAAGUCCAAAAGUCAAUGAAAGGCAAGUAUGAGGUCCUGAGUUCGGUUCCCAGUAUUAUGUCCCCCCUCCAAAAAAAAAACCCAUAAAAGUCAUAAAAGGUUGAUGUAACUAACUGUAUACAAAAAUUUUGGAAUGACAAAAAAUACCUUAAAGUCAAAAGAUAGGACAAGGUGGAAAAACAUUUACUACCCAAUGACAGUAGGUUGGUUGGUUUCUUAAAUAUAUAAAAAGCUUAUAUUGCAGAAAGAAAAAUAAGUAACAGCCAAUGACAAAAUAUGCGAAAGGUGUGAAUAGAAAUUUUAUAAGAAAAAUAAUAGAAAUGUUAUUUUUUUUUUGUCUUUUUCAUUUUUAUCGGUACCAGGGAUUGAACUCACGACUGCACACUUGCAAGGAAGGCGCUUAUGCCGCUGAGCUAAAUCCCCAGCCCCCAAUAGAAAUGUUAUUAAACAUACAAAAAGAUAACAGUGAUAGUACUUAUACAGAGUCUAUUUGUUUAUUUAUGGUCCUGCAGAUUGAACCCAGGGAGUUCUGAGCUGUAUCCACAGCCCUUUUCAGUUUUAUUUUAAAAAUUUAAGACAGUAUCUUGCUAAAUUGCCUGGUCUGGUUGUGAAUUUAGAGUCCUCCCGCCUCAGUCUCUCAUGGCGCUUGGAUUACAGGUGUGUAUCACCAUGCUUGGUUUAUGGGGCUUAUCUUUAGCUACACAUUUAAUUUUUAUCAGAACUGCAUGAUGAAGGUUGCUGUUAUUAUAAUGCCAUUUUACUGAUGAGAAACCAACCAACAAAAAACCCCCAACAAAACAAAACCACAAAAAAACAGACAAGCAAAUUGCUGAAAGACACUGAACUAAUAAGCCGUUGUUUGGAGGUUUGGACAAUUAGGCAAUUAGGGACCAAUUUGCCCUUUGGAGGCCUCGUGGGGCUGAGGAUGUUGCUCAGUGGUAGAGUAUCUGCCAGCACACACAAAGCCCUGGCUCCACCCUCAGCUCUAGGGGGAAAAUAUGUUCGCCAAGCACUUUUUGUUCAAUCUUACCUAUUUUAAAAGAAAUGAGAGUUAAAACUGCACCCAAAUGUCAUUCUUUAGAUGUUUAGUUAGAUUUCUUAGAUGCUUAGUUAGGUUGACAAAGCUGAAAAUAUUUGUUGAAUGACUGGUAAAACUGAGGAAGAAAAGAGCUCUAAUGGUGGAAGGGUGAAUGGGCGUAAAUAUUUUGGAGGGCAGUUUAAUUCAUCAAAAUUUUAAAUACAUAUGUGCUUUGACCUAGAAACCCCAUUUUAAAGCAUUUUUUUCUGAUAAUACAAAGUAUUAGAGGUUUUUUUCUUUUGCAGUGUGUUUGUAAAAGUCCAGGAGCAAACUGAAGUGUCCAUCACCGUGGACCUGGGUGUGCGGUUUAUGGAUGAGACAGUUGGCAAUACGACAAAGAAAACUCUCUAAGAUGCAUUGUUAUGUAAAAAGGGUAAAGGAGAGAAUAAGGCAGAGCAUGUUCCACCCAAAUGUUUUUCCACGUGUGCUGGGACUUGGGGAGACAGCUGGGUGCCUAUGGCAGGGAUGACAGGGAGUGAGGAUUUUUAAGAAAACUGUAUAUGCUUUGGUACCAUUGAAGGACACUGAAAAUAUGUUCAAGGGUCAUUUUUCAUUUUUAUUUUAUUUAUUUAUUUAUUUAUUUAGUCUUUUUCCUUUUUAUCGGUACCGGGGAUCGAACUCAUGACUGCCUGCUUGCAAGGCAGGCGCUUAUGCUGCUGAGCUAAAUCCCCAGCCCCUUUUAUUUUUAAUUAGAGUUAAAAUUGCACCCAAAUGUCAUUCUUUAGAUGUUUGGUUAUUUUAAUUAUUUAUUAUUUAUUAUUAUUUUUUUCUUUUUUUGGUACUGGGGAUUGAACUCACAACCUUGUUUUUGCCAGGAUGGCCCUUGUACCACUGAGCUAAAUCCCCAGCACUAUUAUUUAUUUAUUUAUUUUGUGAGUCAGAUCUUGCUCUGGGGUUUAGACUGCUCUACAGCCUAGACUAGCGUUGGACUCGGGACAGUCUUCUUGCCUCAGCCUCCCAAGUGCUGGGAUAUGGAUUACAUGGCUGUACCACCAUGCUAGUGUCAUCUUUUAAAAACCAGUUACAGUUAAACAUAGUACAGUGCUCUCUGGAGCCAUCCCACAGAGAAAUAUGUGAUUGCAUUAUUCUUCUAAGGACCGACUUGUCAGCUCAUCUGGGCUCAUGGGAAAAAGAAGGGACCUGUGUUGUGGGGUUACCCCCAGAACUGAAAGGGGCAGGCGGCUGGGGCUUCAGUAAGUUCUACCCGGGAAGAAGAUGCUUGCCAGAUGCUCGCCAUCCUAAGACAGAAAACAGCAUAGUUUGGACCUAGAAUGUCCCCCUAAGCCUCAUGAGCUUGUAUGCAGGGCUUUUGGCAAGUGGUUGGGUCAUGGGGCACUAGGGCUGACUUGCUGCCAGCAGGAAAGUCUGGUCAGAAGAGGUGAGUCACUGGGGUGCGACCCGGAAGGUCCAUCGCCCUCCCCAGCUCUUCCCUUCGCCCUCUGCUUCUGUGUCUCUCCCGCCUUACAGCGGCCAACUAUGGACUGAACCUCUAAAAACCAUGCACCAAAAUAAACCUCUCCUUUAUCUUGUGCGUAUUGUUUUGGUAAUGAGAAAAGUGAUAAAGAAGGAAACGUUCAGCCUCAUUUCUUUCUGCGACAUUAAGCUUUACUGGCGACUUGAUUGUCUUGGGAGCCGCCUAUGGGAUUAGCAAAGCACACAUCCGAGCUGUCUGGGUGGAUCAAGGAGGUGUGACCUUGCGGUCUGUAUCUGACCCCUCGCCCCUUCCGCUCUGGUACUGUUUCCCUGCUCUGCAUCCUGGCUGCCGACAGUUUAACAGUUUCUCUUGGUCAUGCUCUUCUGCACAAUGUUUCUCCCUGGAGCCAUGGAACUGUGAGCCGGAUUAAUCCUCCUUUACUUUGUGUCACGUAUUUGUUCCUAGCAAUGUGAAAACUAAUAUCCAUCCAUCCAUCCUUCCUUUCUUCCUUCCUUCCUUUGGUACAGAAAUUUUUUUGUACUGGGAAUUGGGACUGGGGACUUAAGUGUGCCAAACAUGUCCCCUACACCCCUGUCCAGUUUUUAUUUCUUAAAAACGAUUCAUAUACCCCAAUUAAUAUGUGUGUUUCAGCACACACUGACUACAGAACUGCACCCAAAAAUCCUUCCUUUAAAGAAAACGCCAAACCUAAAGUUUCUUUAGAAAAUGUUUCAGGCAAAUUCAGGAGAAAAGAGCUGUGCCCAUGUCAGAAAGGAGCAGCUCAGGCAGUGUGAAGGUGGGAUUCGACCAAACCACCAUGUGCUGUAUUGUGAGCUCUUGCCAAGGGUCUGUUCUCUGUGCAAGGAUCUUUCAUAAGGCUUUCUAGACUUCCAGGAAGUCUGAAUGAGACUGAAUAAAUUGGACUGGGAUGGGACACACUGUGGGCCUGGGAUUUUAGGGUAGAAUGUAGGGACUUAUGAGUGGAGAUUGAAGGAAUAGAAAGAGAAGCUGAAAGGCCAGAGUGGCUAAAUUCCAGAAAGCAAAGAUAGACUAAAAAACAGGCUAGAAGGAUUUGUUUUAGAAACAGUUCUGCAAAGAGCAUCUUUGUGGAAUGCUUGGUAUACUUGUCCACGCUUCCUUCAGAAUGAAUGUUUACAAGUUGAGUGGUUAGGUCAGGGUUGUAUAUGUAUAUUAAAAGGUUUUUUUUGAGAAAAGGUCUGUCUGUGUUGCUGAGGUGGUCUUGGACUCCUGGGUUCGAGUCAGCCCCUUGCCUCGGCCUCCUGAAUGGCUGGAACUUCAGGUAUGCGCCCGCACCAUUGAUUGCACACCUGUGAGAUUUUAUCCGUUUCCUCUAGAUGAUGUGUGAGGUUUUCUCCUCCCUUAUGACUUCUGCCAAUCGUUUCAGAGAGUUUUGAGGCAGGGGAUGGGAAUUCGAAGAGUUCAUGUCAGACAUUUCUUAUUCUUCUUAAUAAGGUAAGGGGUGAGGUCCUGCCAAGUUCAGAAUACUGGGUUCAUUAAGCCUGGAAAUCAAGGAGAACUGCAAAGGUAGGAAGGGUCCGGGUGACAGAGCCUGGAGUGCCCGCUGCAGGAGAUGGUAAGCCUCAAUUAGGAACGGCUUGAACUUGAUGGUUUACCAAAGUGUGGUUUAUUUAACAGCUUUGUUUUUACUACUGUCUUUUUGGCAGUGUUUAAAAUGAGGAAUUCUGUUUUUAACUGAAAAAAGAUAAUAAAAUGGACAAUUCAAUUUAACUAUAGAAACACUAAUUUAGUGCUUACUAUGUGCCAAUUACAAGGUUUGCAAAAAUGAGCUAGGUUUGGGCUGGAUGUGGUGAUGCACAACUAUAAUCCAGCACUCCGGGGGCCUGAGUAGUAUUAAUAGCAAGUCUGAGCCCAGACUGAACAGUUUAUCAAUGUAGCAUGAACUUGUUUCAAAAAUGAAAAGAAAAAAUUGGGAGCUGGGUGUGGUGGUGCAUGCCUGUAAUCCCGGCACUCAGGAGGCUGAGACAGGAGGAUUGUUGCAAGUUUGAGACCAGCCUGGGCUACAAAGUGAGCUAAAAAAACUAUAAAUAAAUAAAAUUAAAACCAAAAAACGAAGUGAGCUCAAGACCAGUCUGAACUGCACAGGGAGAUCCUGCCUCAAAAGACAAAACAAACAAACAAGUAAAAACCAAAAAGUUCUGGGGAUAUAGCUCACUAUCUCACUACAAAGGUCCUGGGUUCAAUUCCCACUACCAAAAAACAAGACUUGGGUCCUGCUCUUGAGAUGCUCCAGUCCAGUGACAGACAGGCCCAUUAAGUAAUAAUUACAACACACUGCAACAAGAAUAGAAAGAGGUAAAGCAUACAGCUUGAAACAGCGUGGAAGAAGGAAAUAUCCUUCUUGGAUAUUGGAUAUUGGAGCAGGUUCACCUGGAGAGGCAUGGGAGAAGGGUCAAGUCUGCGGGCAGGUGUGCAGAGUGAGUUGGAGGAAUUUGCGUAUCUGCUGGCCGCAAGGGAAGGCAGGGCACCAAUCAGGGCUCAGAAUGUUUCCUAACUGCAGUACAUUUAACUCUGGCUCAGCUCAUGGGGACAAGUGGAGGUUUAAGCUGCUUCGUGGCAGGUGCCUGGAGGCUGGUGAUGUAGCUGGGGGUUUAGGACCCAAUUUCCUUCUCUUGAGAAUUCAGAGGUCUUCAGAGCUUGUGGGAUGGGGUAGGAGGACUUGUGUGGAGAUGGGACAGAGUGUGACUCCCGCCUUGCUGCUGUGAAAGGCUGAGUCACAUGUGGGCCAGGCAGGAAAGCCAGCCAGGGAUCAACAGAUGCUGGUGAUGGCUGGUGCCCAGCCUUCUGGGUGCUGCAGAGGUUAGUUGGUACAUUAUUCAUCUCAUCUGUCUGAGCCCUUUGUGUGAGGGACUAUUUCUGCGCCCACCAACCUCUUUCCUCCCAUCCCCUUUCCUCUUUUAUUCUUUCAUUGUUUCAGAGGACCCUUCAUUGUUUAUUUUAGGAGCACAGAGGAAGGAGAGAAGCCUUACCUGCUAUUAAAAUGUUUCUCCUAAAUAUUUUAAUCUUUCCCCAAUAUCAAAGCUUUUCUUUUCCUUUUAUGCCCUGUGACAUCCCUCCUCUAAGGCAGAGAAUAAAUAGUCCAGCUGCUUGCAUAGGAGUUGGGGUUGGGAUGGGUUGUGGGCAGGGAAGACAAUGAAAGAAAGAAUAUCGCUUACCUCGAAAAUGUUUCCUGCUGCAUGAUAGUUGUUGGUCUGGCGAUCACUGACCACCCUAUAGCUGAAAAAGUGAAUUGCAAGUAAUAUGAUACAUGAAAACUGCUUGGGGACCUGUCUGGUAAUGAGGAUAUUUAAAGUUGUGUGCAUGCUAAUCAGGCAUGGUGAUACACGAUUGUAACCCCAGCUACUUGGAAGGCUGAAACAGGAGGAUCCAAAGUUCGAGGUCAACCUGGGCCAACACAAGAAGAUCUUGAAUCAAAAUUUAAGAAAUAGAAGGGGCUGGGCAAUAGCUCAGUGAUGGUGCACUCGGAAUUCAAGACUCAGGAUGGGGUCGGGGAGUGGCCUGUACAUGCACAAAACAAAAGCAAGGAUUACCCCUGCAGACUAGUGGCAUGGGUCCCUCUACAUCUUUUUGCUUUCCUGGGAGUGUGUGGUGGAUGGCUGGAGUUGUAGUCUCAGUUUGCCCAGUUCAGCCUUUUGCUUUAGGUCUCUGAUCGCUUGAUUUUGCCUGUGUUGUGCCCACUUGAGGGAGUGAUGCAUCUGUAAGGAGCAGGGCCAGAGAUUCAAGAGCGACAUAAGAAGGCUGUGUCAAGGCCUGGAGUUCCCUUUCAUUCAGAUGAGCCUUUGGGGAGUGCCACCACCCCACCCAUUGACAGCUUUUUUAGCCUCGAGCUCAUCCCAAGUUGGGUCCCUGCUCUUGGGGCUGCAUUGGGCAUGGGUUUCAAGUUUGGUGGCACAUGGGACAAGACAAUGUGACCAGCAACCAAAACAAGCAUUCACAGGAUGUGAGAGGACCUCUGAGAAGCAAGCGGUGAGGAGGGGGCUUGCAAAAAGCUGCUGAGUAGGGAGGAAGGCUGAAGAGACUCACAGAGACUGGUCAUCUUCUACCUUCGGAAUUUUUCAUCUGAAGCAUGAAAUUUAAUAAAAGCUUUAAAGAUCCUGGAAAAACAAAUGAACCAGGUGAGAGAAUGGAAUCCUGGGGCAGGUGCAGCAUCCAUAUUAUUAUUACGGUGAAGGCAGACAUUGGAAUUAGCUCCGAGAUUGGGUUUGGAAUCCUGUUAUGUUGCUCUGGGUAAAUGGGCCCUGGGGGAAAAUUGCUUUGCACUUCCUGAGUUAGGAAGGGUGGGAACAGGGCUGGAGGAAGUGAAUCUCUAGAGACAACAGUAUCCCCAUCCUCAUUAUCCAGGGAGAUGCUGGGUAGAAGCCAGAUGGCAAAUAUUUCAUCACAGAGAGUAUCCGUUAGAGAGCACAUCCUGUGUCAGGGGGACCACAUGCCUGGUGCUGAUGCUGUGAGGCCAGCUGCCAUCUUUCCUGAGCUCCUACUGUGUGCUCAGCGAGUACUGUCACAUCAUGCAUCCCAGAACAUUCACAUUGUAUUCAAAGCGAUGUCACUCCUUCAAGCACAUCUGUUAUUUGUUGUUGCAUGGCAACCACCACAAAACUUCAUGACUUCUUUUUUUUUUUUUUUUUUUUUUUUGAUAUUGGGGAUUGAAUUCAUGACCUUGCACUUGCCAGGCAGGCACUUAAACCACUGAGCUAAAUCCCCAGCCCCAAACUUCAUGACUUCUAACAAACCCUUAUGGUUUUGUGAGUUGCCUUGGCUCAGCCAGGUGGUUCUCACUCAGAUCUCCUCAUGUGGAGUCACAUGAGGAGACGAGAUGAUCAAGGUGACUCAGCACAGUGUGGGUGCUGGCUGUCCACCUGAGGGUCAUCCUGGGCCAUGACUUACACAUGGUUUCCCCAGGUAGUUCGGUUUCUCAUACGCUGGUGGCUGGGUUCUGAGAGGGAACAUUCCAAGAGCAAGUGUCCCAUGAGGCCAUGCAGAACCCACAAGAUUUCUUAUGACCCAGCCUUGGAGGUACACGAAUGUCAUUUCCAUGGCAUUUGGUGUCAAGUCUAGAUUCAAGAGAAGGAUAUAGAUUCUGCCUCCUGGUAGGAUAGUGGGUCCUGGAUAGGAUAGGAUAGGAUAGGAUAGGAUAGGAUAGGAUAGGAUAGGAGUGUAUGGGAUAGGGAAGUAAGAUGUUAAAGGUGGCAUCUUUGAAGGGGAGCUACCACACAUACCACCAGGGUUGCUCCAUGUGCAAGCCAUCUGUGCAGUUGCAUGGGACCUCAAGGGACCUCACGUGGGGUCCCGUGCUUGGCUGAACGCUUUGUUGCCGCUAUCUUAAACAGUUGAACCACCUUAAUAAAAAACCCCAUAGUUUCCUUUUCCCUGGGCCUCACGAGUUCCACAGCUGGCCCUCAGUGGGACUCCCUGCCCAGGGAGUGACUCCUGGAUUCGUGCAGUGUGGUGAGGGGUGGGGCAGGAGCUGAACUCUGCUCUGCAGAUGGACUCCUACCUCUGGAGAACACACAGACCGACCGAGGACACAAUUUAUAAGAGAUGCUGCAACUGGUGGUGCAAAUCGAGCACACGUCAGCUUGACUGUGCAAGGCGGGCCCAGACGGGCCGGGGGGAUCCUCGCCUCCACACCCUCUCUUGGGUUCUCACACCAAGCCUACCCUGGGCAGGGCCAGAAAAGCUUCUCGGAAUCUUAGAAAUGUCCUGGUCCUCUCCCCACCCUCUCUGCUCUCGACCCUUAUUCCCAAGGCUCCUGUGCUGGGGCCCUGAAGGAUGGGGCUUCCCACAUCAGGACAGGCUCAGGCUGAGUGGGGGGAGGAAGUGCUGAGCCCGGGAGGGAUGAUAAGGAUGCAGGAGGAGCCCAGCCAGUGCAGGCUCGAGUUCUGUGGUGAGCCACAGAAUUUUAGGGAGAGGGGUGGUGGGAUGAAAGGAGAGAGCUCUCUGGUCUUCUCCGAGCAGCAGGCUGAGCACACUGGGACUCUGAACAAUGCCACCCUCCUAUUCCACAGCCAGAUGGCCACUGGCCAGGCACAGGCCAUGCCUUCUUCCAGGACAAGAAAUGGCUCAAGGAGCCCUCUAGACCUUUAACUAGGGCACAAAGACAGUUCCAGUAGGAGGGCACCUCUGUUCACGGACAACCCAGGGGCCUUCAGUGGGGUCAUCAUUGCUGAGUGUACACAGCAGCUUUUUUCCUGUGCACGCCAGCAGAAUCUCUUUGCCAUCAGAGGCAGCUAAGCCAUGUCACCUUUAUGAGACUAAGAGGGCUCAGGAAGCUAAUUCUAGGAUUACUCUAGAAGAAUCACUUACAGAUGAGCUAGCUAAGGCCCACUGGGCCAUCAUUUUUUGGCUGAUGCUGGCCAAUUGCCUGUUGUUCUUGGUUUAGUUUCUCCCUUCCUCGGGCUCCUCUGCAGGGACCACUUUCCAAGUCUCCAAGUCCUUAGGCUUCCGGGUCAGCUUGGGAGUCCUCACACGAGACUACAAGGUGGUAGGGGGAAAACAGUCAAGAUGUUCCUCUCUGCCUGGUUCUUGUGUCCUUGGAAGAAUCUGUUUCCUCAUGGAUCCAGCUCAAGUUGCAUCUCAUCACCAUUGCACCUCUCACUGGACAUCCCUGGCUUCUCAGCUCUUCCACCACCUGUGUGAUUCUUCUUCCAUCGAAUUCCCUCCCUGGGAAACACCUGGGCUGAUAUCACGGGUCACACUGUCUCUUUUAUAACCAGGAAGCCCUGGAGGUCAGGGAAGACUCUGUGACAGUUUUUCCAUUCCAAAGGCCUGGUUUGAAUUCCACAGGGGUUUCCCAGGCUCAGAUCCAGCUAGAUCCCUUUGUUGUUCACAUUAAUAGUCAGAUUCCAGAGCACAGAGCAAACUGAGAAGACACCCAGGCCUCCUCCCCCUAGUCCAGGUCUCUAGCCCUUCAGACCAUCUUACUGGGGAGGAAGGAGGGGCCAGAGUUUAGGGAUGGAGGCAGCCUGGCUGAUGUGCUCAAAGCCUGGGUGAGGGUGCACGGGUGACUGAAGUCCACUCUUAAGCAUACCCUGAUGUCACUGCUCACAUCCCUUGUUUUAAAGACUAGUGAUCAAGAGAGCAAGUUGUGCUAUAUAUGUGUGUGUGUGUAUGUGUAUGUGCUUAUUAGGGACUAAUAUAGAUGUGAAAGUAUAGGAUUUAACAUUCAACACGGAUGUAUAUGGGUGGUUUCCUUUGUGAGGAGGUGGGUCUAUUGCAAUUACACUUAAGCUUGUCUCUCGAGGUCACUUGACCCCCAAGACAAAGUCUUUUGGGGUCAUUUGCAAGAUACAGGUCUAGAACAGAAUUUGUCGAGGAGUAGUUGACUUAGCCUGAGAACAUGACGUGUUGGAGAUGAACCUACAUCGGGGCGUGGGAACUCUCAACCCCUUCCCUAACUGGAGGCCCAGCUCUCUCCAGCUGUGUUCACAGCUGCACACCACUCCUUCUAUGGGGGUGAAGGAAACAAAUGAGUGACAUGUCACCAGAUGACUGUCAGGGAGCUGUCUAGGUCCCGGUAGACUGGGACUUUCAAUUUUGGAAAAGUGGAUUGUACUUAUUUUGGGUUUUCCUCAUUAAGACACAGGAUUCAGGGGGAAGAAAGCAUGCAAAAGGGCAAAUCAGGAGCACUGGAGUAGUCGCUGGAUAGGACUCGUGUUUGCACACACGUGUGCUGGGGAGAGAGGCACAUAUCCCCACACUGGCCUCCCGACACAAGGCACUGCUGCCUCGAUCCCCCAGCCUCCCUCUCCACCUUCCCUUGGGAGUACGGUCUGGGUAUGAGCUUCUGCUUAUGUUUCCUGCUCCCUAAGCACCAAAAAGGAAAUAGAAAAAGAGAAUUUUUUUGACAGAAAGAGGGCAGAAUACUGAGGAUUGAACCUAUUGCCUAACUCAUGCCAGAAACUGUCCUACAUUGAGCCACAUUCCCUGUUCUUUCUGUUCUGAGAUAGGGUCUCACUAAAUUGUUCAGGCUGGUCCGGAACUUGCAAUCCUCCUGCCUCAGCUCCUUUAAGUAGCUGGGGUUAUGGGUGUGUGCACCACAGCUGAUGAGAUAUUUUAGCCUCUAGCUUCAGUCUCCUGUACACUCCUGGUGGAGACAGUGCGGUAUCAGAUCUGUCCUUUCUGCACCAGUGAUUGUGCACCUGGACUGAGCUCAAGAGUCGGGAUAAAGUUGGCCCACAGGACCUGCCACAUUCAGGCAAUGUGGUCCUUCUCGCCUGCCCUGGAUCCUGUUUUCUCGUAGUGCCUCUGUGCCCACUGCUUGGUCCUGGUGACUGCCCAGUCCUUUUAGGCUUAAGACUCUGCUUUGCUCUCUCUGCAUUUCUCCCCUGUCAUCUGGUCCUUGCAUUCUGGGAUCUGAAGACAGACAUCCUUGCUGCCGCCUGGCUGCCAGGACUUCCAAAAAUCCCUCUGGAACUGUCCAUUGCUGAGACCCACCCGCCAGCACUGACACCCUGUUACCAACUGCUCCUCCCCUCCCCAGCCACUGACUGCUGCAGAACUGCCACCUGUUGUCUGUUUCCACACCCUCGCGCAUGCACUGUGCCUGUCACCCUGGACGGCUGCCCGGCAGCUGCACAGAGGCUGUCUUGCCAGCACCUUCCACCUGAUGGGUGGUCCCGUCCUGUUCCCAGCCUGCCCAGCUCGCCUCAUCUGCUGUCCUCGUUGGCCACAUCUGGUUGGCUAGAGAGCGAAGCAGCCAGGAUGGGCCCAGGGCACCCUCAAGAAAGAUGGUUACUUUCCUUGAGGACUGAACAGGGAGACCCAGGUCUCAAAUGUGAUCGUGACAGACCAUACUGAGAAUAGUAGCUAAUGUUUACCAAGGACUUAGGUCGUAAUGGUGCCACAAUUUACCAACAUCACUCUAUUAUACAACUUCCUUAUAAGGUAAAUACUAUGAUAUCCCCUUUUGACAGAUGUAGAAACCAAGCCUAAGUAGUAUAAGUGAAUUUGCUUAAGGUUCCCUAGGCCUAAAUUAUGGAGCUACAAUUUAGAUCCAAGGUGUGAACUACAGAGCUCAAAGUCAUAACCAUUAGACCAAAGUGCCUCUGUCUAAGGGCCCAGAAACUUCCCUGUUGUCUCCAAUGACCUCUCUGUGGUGUGAGAGCAACUGAUCCCUGGGGAAGGCUAUGGUCAAGGCUCUGGAUACUUCCUGCUUGCUUUAGAAAACAGUACUGGAAUAACCUCUUACCUGCUCACCUUUUUGAGGUCGUCAAGCUACACAUCCUCCAUGUUCCCUGUGUGUACCCAGCAUUUCUUACUUUGGGUCUCCUCUUGGGCUCCUUAAAAGUUUUCAGGAGGAAUCAUCUUGUGACGAUGUAGUUAAACAAAGCAGAAUGGGACAUAUGACUAAAUCAUUGAUGAAUGGGUCUGUCUCCUUCGAAGGCCAGAGACUGUAUGAAUGUGAAGGAGAGGCAGGAUGUGGGGGUGCAGAAGUGGUCAAGGGGAAGAUGGAGGCUCCUGGAGAAGGUGGUACACAUCACCCACGGGGUGCAGCCCUGCCUGCCCUGGAACAGCUAUGCGAAGUGGAAAGGAAAGGUGUGCACUGAGUUGGGGGCCUUUGGUGUUCACAGAAUGAUCCUGUGGAGGUGAGGAUGGUGGAGGAUAGGGCCUGAGGGGGCUGGAGACUGACACGAGUACCAAUGGGACAGUUCAUUGUUAGUGGUCUUUGCAUUUUGCUUAUUCUUUUUUUUUUUGGUACCAGUAGGUGCUUAUGCCACGUGGAGCAGGAUUUUAUGUCACUGGCCUGCAUUUUGCUUAUUCUUGGAAAAACAAGUUCUCAAGAAAGAUAUCAAGGAGAGAGCCUCAUGCACUGGCCGCUGCUGGAUUAGGGAUGGCCGGACCCAAGCAUCUCUUCGUGAGUCAGUGCCAUUUGUGGACUGCGGAGGGAGAGAACCAGGCCUCACAAGGAGGUGAUCCCUACUUGGAAACCAGCGCCAUGCCCGGGACACUGCCAGAGUGGGAACAGCCACACCCAAGCUCUCUCUGUGAGUUAGUACCAAUCGUGGACUGUGGAGUAAGAGAACCAGGCCUCACCAGGAGGUGAUCCCUGCCUGGAAACAAUAUCAUUUUCAUUGUUUUGUUGGGUUGGGUUUUAUUCUCUUUUGCUGUGUUUGAUUGUUAAAUCUGAUGGCAGGAGCAGGUAUUUGAAAGAGAGCAAGACAUAGUAUGGCAGCCACUUUGGAUUUAUUAGUGGCUUGUUUUGAAGUCCUUUAUUGCAUUCGCUGUUUUGUUUUCAUUGUUUCUAUUCUGUUCUGUUCAAUUUUUACUGUGUCUGAAGGUAUCUGCAGCUAUUUUGAAGACAACACAACAAAAGGCAUUAUGGUAACUAUUGAUUUUGUAAGGUUUUGAAGUCCUGUAUCACUUAUACUGGUUUAUUUUGAUUGGUUUUAUCCUGUUUUAUUUUCCUUGGUUUUAUCCUCUUUAAAAUUAAAAGAAUUAUAAAAAGAGAAA